GCAGCCGCGGUAAUACGUAGGUGGCAAGCGUUGUCCGGAUUUACUGGGUGUAAAGGGCGUGUAGGCGGGCUGAUAAGUCAGAUGUGAAAUACCGGGGCUUAACCCCGGGGCUGCAUUUGAAACUGUCAGUCUUGAGUGUCGGAGAGGUAAGCGGAAUUCCUAGUGUAGCGGUGAAAUGCGUAGAUAUUAGGAGGAACACCAGUGGCGAAGGCGGCUUACUGGACGAUAACUGACGCUGAGGCGCGAAAGCGUGGGUAGCAAACAGGAUUAGAUACCCC
This 278-nucleotide ribosomal RNA is filed under the name uncultured Oscillospiraceae bacterium. RNAcentral describes it as "partial 16S ribosomal RNA". It matches the Rfam family "Bacterial small subunit ribosomal RNA", at positions 511 to 788 of the family's 1533-position model. Lineage: Bacteria; Bacillati; Bacillota; Clostridia; Eubacteriales; Oscillospiraceae. The record is from RNAcentral.